CCUACGGGAGACAGCAGUGAGGAAUAUUGGUCAAUGGACGAGAGUCUGAACCAGCCAAGUAGCGUGAAGGAUGACUGCCCUAUGGGUUGUAAACUUCUUUUAUAAAGGAAUAAAACGAGGCACGUGUGCCUUUUCGCAUGUACUUUAUGAAUAAGGAUCGGCCAACUCCGUGCCAGCAGCCGCGGUAAUACGGAGGAUACGAGCGUUAUCCGGAUUUAUUGGGUUUAACGGGAGCGUAGAUGGGUUGUUAAGUCAGUUGUGAAAGUUUGCGGCUCAACCGUAAAAUUGCAAUUGAUACUGGCAGUCUUGAGUACAGUUGAGGUAGGCAGAAUUCGUGGUGUAGCGGUGAAAUGCUUAGAUAUCACGAAGAACCCCGAUUGCGAAGGCAGCUUACUAGACUGUGACUGACAUUGAUGCUCGAAAGUGUGGGUAGCAAACAGGAUUAGAUACCCCGGUAGUC
Molecule: ribosomal RNA, 460 nt
Filed under: uncultured bacterium
Lineage: Bacteria
Description: partial 16S ribosomal RNA
Rfam family: Bacterial small subunit ribosomal RNA
Source: RNAcentral